Molecule: ribosomal RNA, 245 nt
Filed under: uncultured Butyrivibrio sp.
Lineage: Bacteria; Bacillati; Bacillota; Clostridia; Lachnospirales; Lachnospiraceae
Description: partial 16S ribosomal RNA
Rfam family: Bacterial small subunit ribosomal RNA
Source: RNAcentral
UACGUAGGGGGCAAGCGUUAUCCGGAUUUACUGGGUGUAAAGGGAGCGUAGACGGUGUAUCAAGUCUGAAGUGAAACCCCACGGCUCAACCGUGGGCUUGCUUUGGAAACUGGUAGACUAGAGUACUGGAGAGGUAAGCGGAAUUCCUGGUGUAGUAGUGAAAUGCGUAGAUAUCAGGAAGAACAUCAGUGGCGAAGGCGGCUUACUGGACAGCAACUGACGUUGAGGCUCGAAGGCGUGGGGAG